RNAcentral lists this small RNA (26 nucleotides) under Bombyx mori (domestic silkworm). RNAcentral's name for it is "ovarian small RNA-10116". Lineage: Eukaryota; Metazoa; Arthropoda; Insecta; Lepidoptera; Bombycidae. The record is from RNAcentral.
AAAUAGAUUAAAGGCCUGUAUAAAUG